This 851-nucleotide non-coding RNA is filed under the name Macrobrachium rosenbergii (giant freshwater prawn). Its description in RNAcentral is "12S ribosomal RNA". The stretch from base 438 to 845 matches the Rfam family "Microsporidia small subunit ribosomal RNA", at positions 752 to 1303 of the family's 1311-position model. Lineage: Eukaryota; Metazoa; Arthropoda; Malacostraca; Decapoda; Palaemonidae. The record is from RNAcentral.
UUAAAUGGCUUAUAAUAGUGUUUUUGUUUUUUAUAACGUGUUUACUUUAGUUUGAAAGUUUGAUCCUUGCUUGUUCCUCUGUUUCAGGAAUAAUUUACAUGUAAGUGAGUGCUAGAUAAUUGUGAUCAAUAGAUUUGUUUAGUUAGGUUUCAGUAUGUGUCUUUGGUUUUGGAGAAAUCCUUCGAUCCAGUAAUUCCAGUAAUUUCAGGUUAAAUUUGUGCCAGCAUCCGCGGUUAGACUGGGAGUAAAUAUGGAGGGAAAAAGGUUAUUGGUUACGGGAGCAUGUAUUUGCAAGUUUCUUUUUUUGUAGAGUUAAGAGGUGAAAUUUAUAGUUCGAUAGUAAAGUUGAAUCUUGUUGAUUUUCUUGGAGGCCAUUGAAGUUUAGGUUUAAACCAGGAUUAGAUACCCUGUUAUUCUAAACUUAAAGUUUAUUGCUUGAUUAGUAUCAGUUAUGAGCUUGAAAUUUAAAGGAUUUGGCGGUAUCCAAGUCUAGUUAGAGGAACCUGCCAUUUAAACGAUAUGCCACGAAUGAUCUUACUUUGUCUUGUCAAACAGUAUGUAUACCGCCAUUAUUAGGUGGUGUAUUAAUAUAGCCAUUAAAAUUAAUUUAUAUUAAGUAUAUUAGGUCAAGGUGCAGCCCAUGACAAAGAUAUCGGUGGGUUACAGUGUGUUAUACAUAAACGGAUGGACUCUUGAAACGGGGUCUUGAAGGUGGAUUUAAUUGUAUUUCUUUUUUAAUAUGUUAGAUUGAUCGUAGCUCUAGGAUAUGUACACAUCGCCCGUCGCUCUCAUUCUUUAAAGUGAGAUAAGUCGUAACAUAGUAGUUGUAUUGGAAAGUGCAUCUAGGAGUA